ACAUGGUCUAGUUUUGAGGAUAGUGAGAUUGAGUCUCUUCUCAACGAGGAUUUCAAAGUCAACAACGAGAACAAUAGGGAAUAUCAUGAGUCGUUGAAAGAGUUGACCUCGGAGGAGUUGUUGGGAGAAUUGAACGAUAUUUGUUCAAAAUGGGAAACUCCGCCCGAGAUUGUUCGUGUUGACCCUAGGCCCGAUUUUGCGAGUCAUGUUGGUGAACCACCGACAUUUGACUCAUUGUUCCAUCAUUCACAUAGCGCCUUACGAAAGGAUGACAUCAUUUCUU
Molecule: long non-coding RNA, 283 nt
Filed under: Daucus carota (carrot)
Lineage: Eukaryota; Viridiplantae; Streptophyta; Magnoliopsida; Apiales; Apiaceae
Description: long non-coding RNA (DCAR_LNC005504)
Source: RNAcentral